Molecule: ribosomal RNA, 503 nt
Filed under: uncultured Desulfobulbus sp.
Lineage: Bacteria; Pseudomonadati; Thermodesulfobacteriota; Desulfobulbia; Desulfobulbales; Desulfobulbaceae
Description: bacterial SSU rRNA
Rfam family: Bacterial small subunit ribosomal RNA
Source: RNAcentral
GCCAGCCCGCUCAGAAACUUAAAGGAAUGACGGGGCCCGCACAAGCGGUGGAGCAUGUGGUUUAAUUCGAUGCAACGCGAAGAACCUUACCUGGUCUUGACAUCCCGGAGACCCUUAGGAAACUAGGGGGUGCUUCCAUCUGGAAGAAUCUGGAGACAGGUGCUGCAUGGCUGUCGUCAGCUCGUGUCGUGAGAUGUUGGGUUAAGUCCCGCAACGAGCGCAACCCUUGCCUUUAGUUGCCAGCAGUUCGGCUGGGCACUCUAAAGGGACUGCCGGUGUUAAACCGGAGGAAGGUGGGGAUGACGUCAAGUCCUCAUGGCCUUUAUGACCAGGGCUACACACGUACUACAAUGGCCGAUACAAAGGGCAGCGACACUGCGAGGUGAAGCCAAUCCCGUAAAAUCGGUCUCAGUCCGGAUUGGAGUCUGCAACUCGACUCCAUGAAGUUGGAAUCGCUAGUAAUCGUGGAUCAGCAUGCCACGGUGAAUACGUUCCCGGGCCUU